AAAACGAAACAACUCUUUGCUGAAAGUUUUUGAUUGAAGAGUUGAAUGAUUUUCACAAAGUUUCCGUAGAAAGAUAAAUAGAAAACCCCCAGCAACCCUAAUCAUAAACCAAGAUGGUUUAAUCUAAUUCCUAAUCUAAACCCAGUCGAAAUUGAUUUUUAUUAAAUCCUAACCCUACCCGAAAUUGGUUUAAUUUAAAUGAAAUCAAAUUACACUGAAAUACAAUUUAACCAACAGGCUGGUUUAUAUUGGUUCUCCUUUUCUGAUUUAAGCCCCACGGAUUGGGCUAAGUGUUGGAGGCUCUUCUCUUGUGCUCUCAGUCUUGAUCUGGUUACUGGUCCACUCCACAAGCUGGCUAGCUCAUUUGCUUCUUCUCUUCUCAAGUCUGGCUCUUCUCUUCUCAAGUUUGGCUCUCUCUCGUCAGACUCACUCAGCUCUCCAAUGUCUCUACUCAUGGCUGCACCAUCAAAGAAAAUCAAACUUUAAAUAUUUAACAAAAAGAAUUACAGUAUUGAUUACUCAUUAGUGAGAACUCCAAAUUAGCAUACUCACUGAUAAUGUUUUUCUAAUUUCCCAAUUUUUGAUAUAUAGUAUUUGUACAGUCGUGAACAAGAAAAAGUAUCUGUAAAGUAAAAUAAAUAAUGGUUCUCCGUGAUACUAUGAAAACAUGAAAUGAUGCUAUAAAGCAAAAAAUAAUACAUCAAAUAUCGAGUUGAUCAGUAGAGCACCUCUCUUUUCUCCGAUCUAAAAAUAAAACCUAAAAGAAAGUAGGACUGAUUUUACUUAUCUAGCUCAUAUCAUUUGUGUUUUACGUCUCUAAACUGAUUU
RNAcentral lists this long non-coding RNA (828 nucleotides) under Brassica napus (rape). RNAcentral describes it as "long non-coding RNA (BNAP_LNC016741)". The record is from RNAcentral. Lineage: Eukaryota; Viridiplantae; Streptophyta; Magnoliopsida; Brassicales; Brassicaceae.